RNAcentral lists this unclassified non-coding RNA (2973 nucleotides) under Leishmania donovani. RNAcentral describes it as "gene:LdHU3.32.0530(CDS-product:Kinesin_motor_doma in/MORN_repeat_putative)". The record is from RNAcentral. Lineage: Eukaryota; Euglenozoa; Kinetoplastea; Trypanosomatida; Trypanosomatidae.
AUUGCAGCGGCUUCCACCCUUUGUGUUGUUUGGCACUGUUGCGCCUCGCCCUAAAUCCAAACUCGACAGCUUCCCACGCUGCGUCCCGUAGACCACCCCCGCCCCCACCCGCAGCAAAACGCCUGCUUGGAGCUCGUUUGUGUACGUGCGCUUCUGCGCCCCUGCGUUCCCCACUUUGGGCGGUGUGCUAUGCGUGGGCACACCUUACUUGCCGAGUUCAUCUCUGUUCCCGGGCCACCGUCUUUAUUCGUAGUUUAUUGGGCUGCUGCGGAACACCAACCAUGAGCUCUACCGAUUCACCGCCAACGGUUCAUCCGCCGGUGGUCGAACGCUUGCGCAUCGCUGUCCGUGAGCGACCGGCAUCUGAUGAGGAGGUUCCCUUGACACAGGUGCUAAUCCGUGCCGAUCAAGACAAACUCAUUGCCUUCGCCCCAAAGCCGCGGAUGGGCUUAUGUACGACUUUGACUACUUCUACCCGCAAAAUGCGCGCCAGGCUGACGUUUUUUGCACGAUCGGGCUCGAGAUGGUCGACUUGGUGAUGGGCGGGCUCAGUGCCAACUGCAUUGCCAUAGGCUACGCGGAGACAGGUAAGACACACACACUCUUUGGCAGCCCGAAUGAGUCUGGGCUCAUCCAAGACACCGUGCGAGAACUCUUCCGGCGACUGGAGGCGCAGAGGCACACGCACGAGUACAGUGUCGGCUUCUCGUACUGGGAGAUGAACUGCAACAGUGUCCUUGACAAUCUCGCAGAGGACGAAGCAGCGUUUUCUGACGUUAGUGCUGCAGCGAGCAGCACUGCGCGCAACCACGCUGUUUAUCGCGAUGGCUUUGGCCGCCUGUAUCUUUCGCACAUGACGGAGGUACCAGUGAAGGACUUUGCCGCCUUCGAGACGCUGCUGGGCCAAGGUAACGAGCGUCGUGUGCGGCGCGGCUACGCUCGACAGUUCCGCUGGCACGGCUUUGUGCAGCUCUCUCUCAUGACCCUUGACAAGCACACUGGUGAGAAGUGCGUGCUGCGUCGCGUGACGUUUGUGCAUACGAAAGGCUCGGAGAGAGUCGGCGCCAACAGGGCACCAAAGCAUAUUCUGCGGGAGGGGAGCCAGGUGAAUGUGAGUAGCACGUUGCUGAACGCGGCAGUUAUACACUCGCUCGAGUACCGCGCCAAGCGGGCUGACCAAUGCCGCACCCAGGCGCAGCUGCACCGCCUGAUUCAACGUAGCGAGUCGUUUUUCAUGGAGUGUCGCUACACUCAAGUCAUGUCGCAGCUCAUGUGCGGGCACGAGGCAUGCUUCGUCGUUGGCUGCGUGGACCCUCUGUCGUACAGUGAAACAACUGAGACGCUAGAGAACCUGCAGCUGUAUCGCAACCUGUUAGCGGCCUGCGUGCCGGUGGUGACGCUGUCGGAGCGCGGGCGACUGCUGCGGCAGCUGCGCGCCAUGGAGACGGCGAUGGGCGGGGAGGAGAUGCUUCAGUUCAUCUACUUUGGCACCUCUGGCCGUCCCCGCACGGAGCAGGAGGAGGCUUUACUCGCCUUGCGCGGUAAGUUGGAAAUGUGGGGUAUGGACAAAGCAUGCGAGACGCAGGGGAGUGGUCUUUUGAAGGAUGCGGCUACGCCCUGCGGCAUCAUCGACGCCGAGGGUCGCAGCACCCGCAAAGUCGUCUUCCUAAACGCCGCCAAGACGGCCACCUACGAAGGACAGUGGAAGGGCGCCGUGUUUGACGGCUUCGGCGAGCACAUCCAGGCCAACUUCAAGUACCGCGGCGAGUUCCGCAACGGCAGGCGUGAGGGACACGGUACCCUUUUCCUGCGCGACACAAAAGAGAGCACGUAUCGCCGCGUGUACGAAGGCGAGUGGCUUGGUGGGCAGCGCGACGGUCGUGGCACGCAGUGGGGCAGCGACGGGGAGGUCUACGAGGGUGACUUCGCCGCGAAUGAACGGCAAGGGCUGGGGAAGCUGUACCUCGCAAACGGGGACGUGAUCGAGGGCAACUUCAGCCACAACAAGUGCGAGGGCUGGGCAGUGCUACGGCAGACGAACGGUGACUGGUUCGAGGGGUAUUGGAUGAACGGCGAACGCGAGGGCCCCGGUGUGUGGCACUACGUCAGCCGCCAGCGGUGUCUGCGCGGCGAGUGGCAUCACAACAAAGCGGUAAUGGGCACCAUGGAAGACGACGCGGACAAGAUCGACGAUAGCACAGGCCCUUUUAUUCCUCGCCUACAGCUGCUAAACAGCGAGGAUAUUCUUGCCCAGCAGCGAAAGCGACUAAUAGAGAAGCGUCGCUUGGAGUUUUCGGCUGCCGGCAAGACGUGGGUAGACUACGCCGCGAUGAACAAGAGGUGCACCGUGUCGAUCGCCGCUACAGCGACACCGAUGACUACCAGCAAGCAUGCGGCUCCUGCUGACGGUCAUACCGUCUAUGGACUGGAGAUUGAGUAGAGAACGGGGGCAGUGGAGUGGCCAUGACCACAUAGAGACGCGCCGCAGCCGAAGCUGCCUUCGAUUUUCUCUAGCUUCCCCUCCUGCUCUUGCGUAUGUGUGUUGUGUGUGUAAGGAGGUGAGGGAGGUACUCUGGCACAGUGGGCUGAUGUAAGCAGCUCUGCUUCAUGUACAGUAGGCGAGGUGUCAAAUCUCUUUCUGUUCUGUUUUCUUUUUUUUUGUGUGUGUGUGUGUGGCUGCGUUUCCGCGCGUUUGGUCUGUGCGUGCGCGCACCAUCUUUGCAUGGCACACCACGAGAGCGGCAUCCUGCCUCCACACGAAAAAGGACGAAGUGCCGAAGGGGGGAGAAGAGCAGAGCCAUAGUGGGCUCUUUGCUUCAGUGCACUGCACCACCUCUCUUGCGACAGCCUACUGGGCCAGCGUAGAACCCGAGGCGCAGAAACCUGUCGCCACAGCGUGCCUCGUACGUGUGUGGAUGUCUUUGGGUACAGCUCCGGCCCUGAUUUAGCUUUUGCCCUCGGAGCUACGGUGAC